RNAcentral lists this ribosomal RNA (1421 nucleotides) under uncultured bacterium. RNAcentral describes it as "partial 16S ribosomal RNA". It matches the Rfam family "Bacterial small subunit ribosomal RNA". The record is from RNAcentral.
ACACAUGCAAGUCGAGCGGUAAGGCCCUUUCGGGGGUACACGAGCGGCGAACGGGUGAGUAUCACGUGGGUGACCUGCCCUCAGCUCUGGGAUAAGCCUGGGAAACCGGGUCUAAUACUGGAUAUGACUCCAUGACGCAUGUUGUGGGGUGGAAAGCCUUGUGCGGCUGAGGAUGGGCCCGCGGCCUAUCAGCUUGUUGGUGGGGUGAUGGCCUACCAAGGCGACGACGGGUAGCCGGCCUGAGAGGGCGACCGGCCACACUGGGACUGAGACACGGCCCAGACUCCUACGGGAGGCAGCAGUGGGGAAUAUUGGACAAUGGGCGCAAGCCUGAUCCAGCGAUGCCGCGUGUGUGAAGAAGGCCUGCGGGUUGUAAAGCACUUUCAGUAGGGAAGAAAAGCCGAGUGCUAAUAUCACUCGGUCUUGACGUUACUUACAGAAGAAGCACCGGCUAACUCCGUGCCAGCAGCCGCGGUAAUACGGAGGGUGCGAGCGUUAAUCGGAAUUACUGGGCGUAAAGGGCGCGUAGGCGGUUUGGUAAGUCGGGUGUGAAAGCCCCGGGCUCAACCUGGGAAUUGCAUUCGAUACUGCCUGGCUAGAGUAUGGUAGAGGGAAGCGGAAUUCCGGGUGUAGCGGUGAAAUGCGUAGAUAUCCGGAGGAACACCAGUGGCGAAGGCGGCUUCCUGGACCAAUACUGACGCUGAGGCGCGAAAGCGUGGGGAUCAAACAGGAUUAGAUACCCUGGUAGUCCACGCCCUAAACGAUGAGAACUAGCCGUUGGAGGAGCUUUGUCCUUUAGUGGCGCAGCUAACGCGAUAAGUUCUCCGCCUGGGGAGUACGGCCGCAAGGUUAAAACUCAAAGGAAUUGACGGGGGCCCGCACAAGCGGUGGAGCAUGUGGUUUAAUUCGAUGCAACGCGAAGAACCUUACCUGCCCAUGACAUCCUCGGAACUUUCCAGAGAUGGAUUGGUGCCUUCGGGAACCGAGAGACAGGUGCUGCAUGGCUGUCGUCAGCUCGUGUUGUGAGAUGUUGGGUUAAGUCCCGUAACGAGCGCAACCCUUGUCCUUAGUUGCCAGCGGGUAAUGCCGGGAACUCUAAGGAGACUGCCGGUGACAAACCGGAGGAAGGUGGGGAUGACGUCAAGUCAUCAUGGCCCUUAUGGGCAGGGCUACACACGUGCUACAAUGGCCGGUACAAAGGGUUGCCAACCCGCGAGGGGGAGCUAAUCCCGAAAAACCGGUCGUAGUCCGGAUCGGAGUCCGCAACUCGACUCCGUGAAGUUGGAAUCGCUAGUAAUCGCGAAUCAGCACGUCGCGGUGAAUACGUUCCCGGGCCUUGUACACACCGCCCGUCACACCAUGGGAGUGGGCUGUACCAGAAGUAGGUAGCCUAACCUUCGGGAGGGCGCUACCACGGUAUG